CGGGAUGUUCAUAACCCUUUGUUGUCCGACUCUGUUGCCUCCGGGGCGACCCUGCCUUCGGGCGGGGGCUCCGGGUGGACACUUCAAACUCUUGCGUAACUUUGCAGUCUGAGUAAACUUAAUUAAUAAAUUAAAACUUUUAACAACGGAUCUCUUGGUUCUGGCAUCGAUGAAGAACGCAGCGAAAUGCGAUAAGUAAUGUGAAUUGCAGAAUUCAGUGAAUCAUCGAAUCUUUGAACGCACAUUGCGCCCCCUGGUAUUCCGGGGGGCAUGCCUGUUCGAGCGUCAUUUCACCACUCAAGCCUCGCUUGGUAUUGGGCAACGCGGUCCGCCGCGUGCCUCAAAUCGUCCGGCUGGGUCUUCUGUCCCUAAGCGUUGUGGAAACUAUUCGCUAAAGGGUGUUCGGGAGGCUACGCCGUAAAAACAACCCCAUUUCUAAGGUUGACCUCGGAUCAGGUAGGGAUACCCGCUGAACUUAAGCAUAUCAUAACGCGGGAGAAAA
This 502-nucleotide ribosomal RNA is filed under the name Cladosporium sp. TCD04060502A 14TCDE3. Its description in RNAcentral is "eukaryotic LSU rRNA". The stretch from base 135 to 288 matches the Rfam family "5.8S ribosomal RNA". Lineage: Eukaryota; Fungi; Ascomycota; Dothideomycetes; Cladosporiales; Cladosporiaceae. The record is from RNAcentral.